UGGGGACACGCAGGCUCCCCUCCCGGCCUGAUCGUUCAGGUCGUUUCGAAGACGCCGUCGCGUCCAAGUUCUGC
This 74-nucleotide non-coding RNA is filed under the name unclassified sequences. RNAcentral describes it as "chromate-resist RNA". It matches the Rfam family "chrB-b RNA". The record is from RNAcentral.